UACGUACCGCACAAACGUUAUUCGGAAUCACUGGGCUUAAAGGGUGCGUAGGCGGCCUGGAAGGUGGGGUGUGAAAUCCCUCGGCUUAACCGAGGAACUGCGCUCCAAACCGCCAGGCUUGAGGAAGGCAGAGGUGAGCGGAACUGAUGGUGGAGCGGUGAAAUGCGUUGAUAUCAUCAGGAACACCAGUGGCGAAGGCGGCUCACUGGGCCUUUUCUGACGCUGAGGCACGAAAGCUAGGGUAGCGAACGGG
RNAcentral lists this ribosomal RNA (253 nucleotides) under uncultured bacterium. RNAcentral's name for it is "partial 16S ribosomal RNA". It matches the Rfam family "Bacterial small subunit ribosomal RNA", at positions 524 to 776 of the family's 1533-position model. The record is from RNAcentral.